Non-coding RNA from Salmo salar (Atlantic salmon), 951 nucleotides. The record is from RefSeq and is a predicted model, not a curated record. NCBI's taxonomy places the organism in Eukaryota, Metazoa, Chordata, Actinopteri, Salmoniformes, Salmonidae.
UUUCUCUCUGCAUUGUUGGGAAAGGCCCAUAACCGAUGUCUCAACCCUCAACCGAUAUGAUCAACACGAUGAUGUAGCCGAUGUCUCAACCCUCAACCGAUAUGAUCGACACGAUGAUGUAGCCGAUGUCUCAACCCUCAACCGAUAUGAUCGACACGAUGAUGUAGCCGAUGUCUCAACCCUCAACCGAUAUGAUCAACAUGAUGAUGUAGCCGAUGUCUCAACCCUCAACCGAUAUGAUCAACACCAUGAUGUAGCCGAUGUCUCAACCCUCAACCGAUUUGAUCAACACGAUGAUGUAGCCGAUGUCUCAACCCUCAACCGAUUUGAUCAACACGAUGAUGUAGCCGAUGUCUCAACCCUCAACCGAUUUGAUCAACACCAUGAUGUAGCCGAUGUCUCUGCCUCAUAUUUCUGAACAGCAGAAAGAACAACCCUGUGGCUAUUUGAAUGAACAUUCCAAAAAUAAAUCUAUUUUCUAGGCUAAUUUAGGAUGUAGGCUACAACCUUCUCUAUCUGUUUUCAGUAAGGAUAUUGCAGUAGCAGAAGCAGGGCUCAGUCUACACAUUGCAUUGGGGCAAAACAAUCUGCCUUUUAACUAGACGUUUACAUUUGUGAUGAUGCUGUAGUAUUUAUAUCGUAGCCUGAGUUGCUGAGUACCACAUGAUUUGAUACACUGUGCAUGAUUGAAAUUCACCAGAGUAGCUGUUCCAACUCUGGGCAGCUGAAGCGUGUAGCCGCUAACCAGAGUUUGAGAGUGGGCGAGUUCAUUUUGGAACAGGCCCAGUGCCUACUGUUAUUCGACAUAACCUACUUUGAAUGGCCUGUCUGCCUCCUUUUAAACCAAUGUGUGCAAUGAAUGAAAAAAUUGAAUGUAAUUGCUGUUUAGACUGCCUGUCUGUGUCUUGCUUGUGUUUGAUAUGCUAAGUAUAAAUAGCUUGCCUAAAUAGA